CCUACGGGAGGCAGCAGUGAGGAAUAUUGGUCAAUGGGCGCGAGCCUGAACCAGCCAAGUCGCGUGAGGGAAGACGGUCCUAUGGAUUGUAAACCUCUUUUGUCGGGGAGCAAAAGACGCCACGCGAGGCGUUCCGAGAGUACCCGAAGAAAAAGCAUCGGCUAACUCCGUGCCAGCAGCCGCGGUAAUACGGAGGAUGCGAGCGUUAUCCGGAUUUAUUGGGUUUAAAGGGUGCGCAGGCGGAAGAUCAAGUCAGCGGUAAAAUUGAGAGGCUCAACCUCUUCGAGCCGGUGAAACUGGUGUUCUUGAGUGAGCGAGAGGUAUGCGGAAUGCGUGGUGUAGCGGUGAAAUGCAUAGAUAUCACGCAGAACUCCGAUUGCGAAGGCAGCAUACCGGCGCUCAACUGACGCUCAUGCACGAAAGUGUGGGUAUCGAACAGGAUUAGAUACCCCUGUAGUC
RNAcentral lists this ribosomal RNA (459 nucleotides) under uncultured bacterium. Its description in RNAcentral is "partial 16S ribosomal RNA". It matches the Rfam family "Bacterial small subunit ribosomal RNA", at positions 338 to 795 of the family's 1533-position model. The record is from RNAcentral.